GAUGAACGCUGGCGGCGUGCCUAAUACAUGCAAGUCGAGCGAACGGACGAGAAGCUUGCUUCUCUGAUGUUAGCGGCGGACGGGUGAGUAACACGUGGAUAACCUACCUAUAAGACUGGGAUAACUUCGGGAAACCGGAGCUAAUACCGGAUAAUAUUUUGAACCGCAUGGUUCAAAAGUGAAAGACGGUCUUGCUGUCACUUAUAGAUGGAUCCGCGCUGCAUUAGCUAGUUGGUAAGGUAACGGCUUACCAAGGCAACGAUGCAUAGCCGACCUGAGAGAGUGAUAGGCGACACUGGAAGUGGGCCAGGGACCAGGCUACUACGAGAGGCAGCAGUAGGGAACCGUCGGCAGAGGUCGAAAGCAUGACGGAGCAACGGCACGUGAGUGAUGAAGAUCUUCGGAGCGUAAAACUCUGUUAUGAGGGAAGAACAUAUGUGUAAGGAACUGUGCACAUCUUGACGGUACCUAAUCAGAAAGCCACGGCUAACUACGUG
RNAcentral lists this ribosomal RNA (497 nucleotides) under uncultured bacterium. Its description in RNAcentral is "partial 16S ribosomal RNA". It matches the Rfam family "Bacterial small subunit ribosomal RNA", at positions 28 to 507 of the family's 1533-position model. The record is from RNAcentral.